CCUACGGGAGGCAGCAGUGGGGGAUAUUGCACAAUGGGGGAAACCCUGAUGCAGCGACGCCGCGUGGGUGAAGAAGUAUUUCGGUAUGUAAAGCCCUAUCAGCAGGGAAGAAAGAAGACGGUACCUGACUAAGAAGCCCCGGCGAACUACGUGCCAGCAGCCGCGGUAAUACGUAGGGGGCGAGCGUUACCCGGAUUAACUGGGGGUAAAGGGAGCGUAGACGGCCGGGCAAGCCAGGAGUGAAAGCCCGGGGCUUAACCCCGGAACUGCUUUGGAAACUGUGCGGCUGGAGUGCGGGAGGGGUAAGCGGAAUUCCUAGUGUAGCGGUGAAAUGCGUAGAUAUUAGGAGGAACACCGGCGGCGAAGGCGGCCUGCUGGACCGCAACUGACGUUGAGGCUCGAAAGCGUGGGGAGCGAACAGGAUUAGAUACCCGUGUAGUC
This 441-nucleotide ribosomal RNA is filed under the name uncultured bacterium. RNAcentral describes it as "partial 16S ribosomal RNA". It matches the Rfam family "Bacterial small subunit ribosomal RNA", at positions 338 to 795 of the family's 1533-position model. The record is from RNAcentral.